GACGAAGGAUGCAAGCGUUAUCCGGAUUUAUUGGGUUUAAAGGGAGCGUAGGUGGCCUUAUAAGUCAGUGGUGAAAGACUGUCGCUUAACGACGGAAUUGCCAUUGAUACUGUAGGGCUUGAGUAUAGUUGCUGUGGGCGGAAUAUGACAUGUAGUGGUGAAAUACUUAGAGAUGUCAUAGAACACCGAUUGCGAAGGCAGCUCACAAAACUAUAACUGACACUGAGGCUCGAAAGUGCGGGGAUCAAACAGGAUUAGAUACCCUGGUAGUCCGCACUGUAAACGAUGAUUACUCGUUGCUGGGGAGCAAUUCUCAGUGACUAAGCGAAAGCGAUAAGUAAUCCACCUGGGGAGUACGCCGGCAACGGUG
Molecule: ribosomal RNA, 370 nt
Filed under: uncultured prokaryote
Description: bacterial SSU rRNA
Rfam family: Bacterial small subunit ribosomal RNA
Source: RNAcentral